RNAcentral lists this transfer RNA (74 nucleotides) under Planctomycetota bacterium. Its description in RNAcentral is "Planctomycetes bacterium (freshwater metagenome) tRNA-Val". It matches the Rfam family "tRNA". Rfam says of the family: Transfer RNA (tRNA) molecules are approximately 80 nucleotides in length. The record is from RNAcentral. Lineage: Bacteria; Pseudomonadati; Planctomycetota.
GGGCCGUUGGCACAGUUGGUUAGCGCGUCUGCUUUACACGCAGAAGGCCGCAGGUUCGAGUCCUGCACGGCCCA